GUGGGGAAUAUUGGGCAAUGGGGGCAACCCUGACCCAGCGACGCCGCGUGAGGGAAGAAGGCCUUAGGGUCGUAAACCUCUGUUGUGUGGGAAGAAGGAAGUGACGGUACCACACGAGGAAGUCCCGGCUAACUACGUGCCAGCAGCCGCGGUAAUACGUAGGGGACGAGCGUUGUCCGGAAUUACUGGGCGUAAAGGGCGCGUAGGCGGUCAUUUAAGUCAGCUGUGAAAUGGUCCGGCUCAACCGGAUCAUGCGGUUGAAACUGGAUGACUGGAGUGCUGGAGAGGCAAGUGGAAUUCCCAGUGUAGCGGUGAAAUGCGUAGAUAUUGGGAAGAACACCGGUGGCGAAGGCGACUUGCUGGCCAGCAACUGACGCUGAGGCGCGAAAGCCAGGGGAGCAAACGGGAUUAGAUACCCGGGUAGUCC
RNAcentral lists this ribosomal RNA (427 nucleotides) under uncultured bacterium. Its description in RNAcentral is "partial 16S ribosomal RNA". It matches the Rfam family "Bacterial small subunit ribosomal RNA", at positions 354 to 796 of the family's 1533-position model. The record is from RNAcentral.